Ribosomal RNA from Notamacropus eugenii (tammar wallaby), 122 nucleotides. Lineage: Eukaryota; Metazoa; Chordata; Mammalia; Diprotodontia; Macropodidae. The record is from Ensembl.
AAAUGUAGUUAUACUGGGUAAGUGUAUAGAACAUGCCUGAUCUCAUCUGGUCUUAGAAGAUAAGCACUGUUGAGACUAGUUAGUGUUUGGAGUCCACCUGGAAAUACUGGAUGCUAUAGGUU